RNAcentral lists this unclassified non-coding RNA (354 nucleotides) under soil metagenome. RNAcentral describes it as "partial contains 5.8S ribosomal RNA, internal transcribed spacer 2, and large subunit ribosomal RNA". The stretch from base 1 to 120 matches the Rfam family "5.8S ribosomal RNA", at positions 35 to 154 of the family's 154-position model. The record is from RNAcentral.
GAUGAAGAACGCAGCGAAAUGCGAUAAGUAAUGUGAAUUGCAGAAUUCCGUGAAUCAUCGAAUCUUUGAACGCACAUUGCGCCCGCCAGUAUUCUGGCGGGUAUGCCUGUUCGAGCGUCAUUUCAACCCUCGAACCCCUCCGGGGGGUCGGCGUUGGGGAUCGGCCCUGCCUCUUGGCGGUGGCCGUCUCCGAAAUACAGUGGCGGUCUCGCCGCAGCCUCUCCUGCGCAGUAGUUUGCACACUCGCAUCGGGAGCGCGGCGCGUCCACAGCCGUUAAACACCCAACUUCUGAAAUGUUGACCUCGGAUCAGGUAGGAAUACCCGCUGAACUUAAGCAUAUCAUAAGCGGAGGA